RNAcentral lists this small RNA (125 nucleotides) under Marmota monax (woodchuck). The record is from RNAcentral. Lineage: Eukaryota; Metazoa; Chordata; Mammalia; Rodentia; Sciuridae.
GCCGGAUGCGGUGGCACACGCCUGUAAUCCCAGCCACUCAGGAGGCCGGGGCAGGAAGAUCACGAGUUCAAAGCCAGCCUCAGCAACAGUGAGGCACUGAGCAACUCAGUGAGACCCUGUCUCUA